Long non-coding RNA from Drosophila montana, 631 nucleotides. RefSeq lists it as uncharacterized. The transcript has 2 exons. The record is from RefSeq and is a predicted model, not a curated record. NCBI's taxonomy places the organism in Eukaryota, Metazoa, Arthropoda, Insecta, Diptera, Drosophilidae.
AAUUUUAACACUAGUCGAGAACAGUUCUAAAAAUUUAUAUUACAUUUUUUUCAGACAAAUUUUAGCCUCGAGAAACGAAUUUUUUCGCUUUUAAACGUAAAAUGUCUAAGUGGAAUCAAUUCAGCACAUUGGUGCAGUCCGUACGUGUCCUGGCCCUCCGGGAUAUCGUGAAGUUGGCUGUGAACAAUAUGACCAGAUAUACCGGUUCUGUUGGUGGGGUUAUAGUCAAGGAUACGGAAAAUGUGCAAGCCAUAGCAAACGGGAAGCUAUCUCCAGAUGCGGAACUUAAGGCCGAGCUUCAAGAGAAUCGCAACAUACAGGUACUGUGCUCAAAUAAUAAAAACGCCGGGAGAGGCGGUUCCUGAUGCGAGAUAGCUGUGUACACGGGAGCCGCAUAUUGUAACGUUUAAUUUGAUUUAAUUUGUUUCACUACCUACUAUAAAAGCAAAAAAAAUUAUUUUGACGGGAAGGAGGUUUUAUAACCAACUACGAGGCUUACUUAAUAUACAUAUGCAUAUCUGUGGGCAUAUAUUGACGUGCUUAACGUAUUCUAAAUUAUAUUGUUAUUAUGAAUUCGUGCAGAGCAAAAUGUAACGCCACGGAAUAACAGUAAAUCGUUUUUACAUUUAAA